Molecule: ribosomal RNA, 202 nt
Filed under: uncultured bacterium
Lineage: Bacteria
Description: partial 16S ribosomal RNA
Rfam family: Bacterial small subunit ribosomal RNA
Source: RNAcentral
UACGUAGGGUGCAAGCGUUGUCCGGAAUUAUUGGGCGUAAAGAGCUCGUAGGCGGUUUGUUGCGUCGGCUGUGAAAUCCCGAGGCUCAACCUCGGGUCUGCAGUCGAUACGAGCAAACUAGAGUGUUGCAGGGGAGACUGGAAUUCCUGGUGUAGCGGUGAAAUGCGCAGAUAUCAGGGAGGGAACACCGGUGGGCGAAAGG